GGAAUAUUGCACAAUGGGGGAAACCCUGAUGCAGCAACGCCGCGUGAGUGAAGAAGUCAUUCGUGAUGUAAAGCUCUAUCAGCAGGGAAGAAGAAAAUGACGGUACCUGACUAAGAAGCCCCGGCUAACUACGUGCCAGCAGCCGCGGUAAUACGUAGGGGGCAAGCGUUAUCCGGAUUUACUGGGUGUAAAGGGAGCGUAGGUGGCAGGGCAAGUCAGAUGUGAAAACCCGGGGCUCAACCCCGGGAGUGCAUUUGAAACUGUCCAGCUGGAGUGCAGGAGAGGUAAGCGGAAUUCCUAGUGUAGCGGUGAAAUGCAUAGAUAUUAGGAGGAACACCAGUGGCGAAGGCGGCUUACUGGACUGUAACUGACACUGAGGCUCGAAAGCGUGGGGAGCAAA
Molecule: ribosomal RNA, 400 nt
Filed under: uncultured bacterium
Lineage: Bacteria
Description: bacterial SSU rRNA
Rfam family: Bacterial small subunit ribosomal RNA
Source: RNAcentral